UCCGGUUUGGCACCGGCAGUCUCCCUAGAGUUCCCGGCAUGACCCGCUGGCAACUAAGGACAGGGGUUGCGCUCGUUGCGCCACUUAAGGCAACACCUCACGGCACGAGCUGACGACAGCCAUGCACCACCUGUGCAGGCUCCGAAGAGCGCCCGCUUUCACGGGUUCCACCCUGCAUGUCAAACCCAGGUAAGGUGGGGAUGACGUAGACCUUGGACC
Molecule: unclassified non-coding RNA, 219 nt
Filed under: uncultured Actinomycetes bacterium
Lineage: Bacteria; Bacillati; Actinomycetota; Actinomycetes
Description: uncultured actinobacterium contains 16S-23S intergenic spacer region
Source: RNAcentral